RNAcentral lists this unclassified non-coding RNA (382 nucleotides) under Hevea brasiliensis (rubber tree). The record is from RNAcentral. Lineage: Eukaryota; Viridiplantae; Streptophyta; Magnoliopsida; Malpighiales; Euphorbiaceae.
CAUUUAUAGCACUGCCUAAACACUCCAGUACAAGAGCAUACUGGUGCUGGCAUGGUUGACUCAUCAUACGCAAUCUGGUUCAACCCUAAAUCUUGACCUUUCCAAUCAGAUUUAGAGGCAACCAGCUGUUUAUUCAGAUCAUCGCCUUCCGUAGCCAUAUCCUGUCCAUGUCCAUUCUUCCACUCAUGUGAUUUGCCAUACAUGAUUUUGUUCAAGUCCUCAUUCUCCCUCUUAACCUUCCUUGGAGAUUUUGAAGUCUUUUUGUUAGGUGGCAUCACCUUNNNNNNNNNUUUCCCCCGCCGUGACUUUGCAGCCUCAGAACCAACCGGUGAUAUUGGGACAGUGUCACUUGCCUGCAUUUCCCUAGUACCAUAUGAAGCUU